Molecule: ribosomal RNA, 527 nt
Filed under: uncultured bacterium
Lineage: Bacteria
Description: bacterial SSU rRNA
Rfam family: Bacterial small subunit ribosomal RNA
Source: RNAcentral
AAUAGAUACCCUGGUAGUCCACGCCGUAAACGAUGUCGACUUGGAGGUUGUGCCCUUGAGGCGUGGCUUCCGGAGCUAACGCGUUAAGUCGACCGCCUGGGGAGUACGGCCGCAAGGUUAAAACUCAAAUGAAUUGACGGGGGCCCGCACAAGCGGUGGAGCAUGUGGUUUAAUUCGAUGCAACGCGAAGAACCUUACCUGGUCUUGACAUCCACAGAACCCUGUAGAGAUACGGGGGUGCCUUCGGGAACUGUGAGACAGGUGCUGCAUGGCUGUCGUCAGCUCGUGUUGUGAAAUGUUGGGUUAAGUCCCGCAACGAGCGCAACCCUUAUCCUUUGUUGCCAGCGGUUAGGCCGGGAACUCAAAGGAGACUGCCAGUGAUAAACUGGAGGAAGGUGGGGAUGACGUCAAGUCAUCAUGGCCCUUACGACCAGGGCUACACACGUGCUACAAUGGCGCAUACAAAGAGAAGCGACCUCGCGAGAGCAAGCGGACCUCAUAAAGUGCGUCGUAGUCCGGAUUGGAGU